Molecule: long non-coding RNA, 1192 nt
Organism: Siniperca chuatsi (mandarin fish)
Lineage: Eukaryota; Metazoa; Chordata; Actinopteri; Centrarchiformes; Sinipercidae
Exons: 3
Source: RefSeq, a predicted model, not a curated record
UUCAAAUUAUGACACACAGGAGCUAGAAGACCCACCUGCUUCUUUCAGAUCAGCUGUGUUGGAAAAUUUCAGGUUCCCUGUGGACUACGUCAGCAAUGGAGAGCGAGUGGUGGAUCGGACGAGGACAGUGUGUGACAGCUGUAAGAUCCUUUCUCCUCUGUUGUGGCUGGAGUCAGCCAUACAGGGAAAAUUAAAGGAGUCAGCGCGGCACAGAGCAAAUGGCUCCACUGGGGCUGGAAGAAAGUGGAGCCGCGAGGCGCGAAGAGCCCCCGCCAGAUUGAUUCACAAAAGGAAAGGGCUGCUUCACGCUUGUCACAGGGACUCGGGGGGCUACCCCCCCCAGGGUUGGAGGGUGGGACUCAACACCCACCCAGAGGACGGGCACCCAGCAGGAGAAAAGCGCUCACCCCCUUGUCCAGCUGACUCCCUCUUUCCCCCCAUCUCACACACACGAACACACCACAGGGACUAGGAUUAACCCAAGAGAGGACCACAAUAGGCGCACAUGUCCCCCCUCAGCCAGCCUGGGCCCAUUCAGGUCCUCUGUUACUCACCAUCCUAACAUGGAUUAGGCUUAAUGAACUGGAAGGAGUUAACAAUAAAUGAAUCAGGGCCUAUAAGCAGCCUCCUAAUUCCAUUUUGUGUUCUGCCGCUUUUCUUUCUUUCUGUUUGAACACAAGGUGUAAUCCACUUGACUAUCAAAGGUGCAGGGAGAGUAUGAAUUGAAACUAGCCCUGUCACAUGCACAUGCACACACACCGCCUGCCGCUGAUGCAGCUUACUGAUGCCAUCUGCUCCCAUCAAUACUGACUCUGGAAAGCUCACACACUUUGAAGAAAAAAUAACAAUUCAAAUGUUUUUUUUAUUGUGUAUUUCUUCUCUAAUUAAACAAUUUCAUAACCAAUUCAAAGAAGCUACUGAAGAAUGGAAUAGCUAAUUAAAUGCAUUAUUAUUGAAUGCAACGUACUGUACAGUUAGUGUUGAUGUAGCCUGCAGGGGGAAUGUAAUAUGUUUGUUGUUUCUAUUUGCAACAGCACAUUUGGACACAUUUUUUUAAUUUCCUCUGUAAUUAUGCCAUUCCCCAGCUUUGUCAAGAUAUGUUCUGACAUCUCAAUAUAAAAUCAACUUGUUAUUUUGAUGAUUUACAACUCAAUUAGGCCGGUCACGAGAUGUAGAAAAAAAUAUAAAAAAA